GACGAACGCUGGCGGCGUGCUUAACACAUGCAAGUCGAACGGAAAGGCCCUGCUUUUGUGGGGUGCUCGAGUGGCGAACGGGUGAGUAACACGUGAGUAACCUGCCCUUGACUUUGGGAUAACUUCAGGAAACUGGGGCUAAUACCAGAUAGGAGCUCCUGCUGCAUGGUGGGGGUUGGAAAGUUUCGGCGGUUGGGGAUGGACUCGCGGCUUAUCAGCUUGUUGGUGGGGUAGUGGCUUACCAAGGCUUUGACGGGUAGCCGGCCUGAGAGGGUGACCGGCCACAUUGGGACUGGGAUACGGCCCAGACUCCUACGGGAGGCAGCAGUGGGGAAUAUUGCACAAUGGGCGGAAGCCUGAUGCAGCAACGCCGCGUGCGGGAUGACGGCCUUCGGGUUGUAAACCGCUUUCGCCUGUGACGAAGCGUGAGUGACGGUAAUGGGUAAAGAAGCACCGGCUAACUACGUG
This 468-nucleotide ribosomal RNA is filed under the name uncultured bacterium. Its description in RNAcentral is "partial 16S ribosomal RNA". It matches the Rfam family "Bacterial small subunit ribosomal RNA", at positions 28 to 507 of the family's 1533-position model. The record is from RNAcentral.